AUUAAACGCUGGCGGCAUGCCUUACACAUGCAAGUCGAACGGCAGCACGGGGGCAACCCUGGUGGCGAGUGGCGGACGGGUGAGUAAUGCAUCGGAACGUGCCCUGAAGUGGGGGAUAACGCAGCGAAAGCUACGCUAAUACCGCAUAUUCUGUGAGCAGGAAAGCAGGGGAUCGCAAGACCUUGCGCUUUGGGAGCGGCCGAUGUCGGAUUAGCUAGUUGGUGGGGUAAAGGCCUACCAAGGCGACGAUCCGUAGCGGGUCUGAGAGGAUGAUCCGCCACACUGGGACUGAGACACGGCCCAGACUCCUACGGGAGGCGGCAGUGGGGAAUUUUGGACAAUGGGCGGAAGCCUGAUCCAGCCAUGCCGCGUGAGUGAAGAAGGCC
RNAcentral lists this ribosomal RNA (386 nucleotides) under uncultured bacterium. Its description in RNAcentral is "bacterial SSU rRNA". It matches the Rfam family "Bacterial small subunit ribosomal RNA", at positions 29 to 416 of the family's 1533-position model. The record is from RNAcentral.